This 398-nucleotide long non-coding RNA is filed under the name Dendronephthya gigantea. Its description in RNAcentral is "uncharacterized LOC114531316". Lineage: Eukaryota; Metazoa; Cnidaria; Anthozoa; Malacalcyonacea; Nephtheidae. The record is from RNAcentral.
ACAAUCCAAAAUGGAUGCCGUUCGAAGGCACUAUAAACGUCGUGUUCAACAAGAUGUGAACUCUGCAGGGCUGUCAAUAAAUCGCCCGAACAGAGUCCCUUAUUAUCAAUCGUUAUUUCAGAAACCCACCGGUUUGCCAGUAUAUUUAUUAGGUCCAAAUGACAGGUUCAUCUACAGGUCAUGCAUGAUUGCAUCUGCUGCUGGAAUUGGUAUUUGCUUGGCAUCCAUAUACAUGAUGGCCAGUGGCAACUUGAAGAAAAAGCAAACAUAAACUUGAUAGAAAUAUCAUGUUGACACUUUUAAAGAAGUUAGAGGCAGCAUAAUGAAAUGUUGUAUAUUAUUUACAAGUGCAUUUAAAAUUGUUAAAUAAAAUGGGCAAGUUUUUGCCAAAACCUAGA